AAAUCACAACACACAAUUAAUAAAAAUAAUAUAUUUUUAUCAACAAAUGAUUUGAUGUAAUGGUAAAACAUAUUGCACUUUUAAAGAGAGAAUAUAAAUUUAAAUCUCGGAGAUGAGAUUUUGAAAGAGACAAAAAAACAUGAAAAAUACAAAAAAAAAAAACAUAUUUACCAUAUUUAUAUAGAGUAUCUACCACCUUCUCCCACUUGCAACUUCUUUUUUU
Molecule: long non-coding RNA, 223 nt
Filed under: Gossypium raimondii (Peruvian cotton)
Lineage: Eukaryota; Viridiplantae; Streptophyta; Magnoliopsida; Malvales; Malvaceae
Description: long non-coding RNA (GRAI_LNC006077)
Source: RNAcentral